Molecule: ribosomal RNA, 245 nt
Filed under: uncultured bacterium
Lineage: Bacteria
Description: partial 16S ribosomal RNA
Rfam family: Bacterial small subunit ribosomal RNA
Source: RNAcentral
UACAGAGGUCUCAAGCGUUGUUCGGAUUCAUUGGGCGUAAAGGGUGCGCAGGCUGUUGUGUAAGUCGGAUGUGAAAUCCCGGAGCUUAACUCCGGAACUGCAUUCGAUACUGCAUGACUAGAGGACUGGAGAGGAGAUUGGAAUUCACGGUGUAGCAGUGAAAUGCGUAGAUAUCGUGAGGAAGACCAGUGGCGAAGGCGAAUCUCUGGACAGUUCCUGACGCUCAUGCACGAAGGCUAGGGGAG